RNAcentral lists this ribosomal RNA (516 nucleotides) under uncultured bacterium. RNAcentral describes it as "bacterial SSU rRNA". It matches the Rfam family "Bacterial small subunit ribosomal RNA", at positions 9 to 526 of the family's 1533-position model. The record is from RNAcentral.
GAGUUUGAUCCUGGCUCAGGAUGAACGCUGGCGGCGUGCUUAACACAUGCAAGUCGAACGGGAAACCUUUUAUUGAAGCUUCGGCAGAUUUGGUCUGUUUCUAGUGGCGGACGGGUGAGUAACGCGUGGGUAACCUGCCUUAUACAGGGGGAUAACAACCAGAAAUGGUUGCUAAUACCGCAUAAGCGCACAGGACCGCAUGGUCCGGUGUGAAAAACUCCGGUGGUAUAAGAUGGACCCGCGUUGGAUUAGCUAGUUGGCAGGGUAACGGCCUACCAAGGCGACGAUCCAUAGCCGGCCUGAGAGGGUGAACGGCCACAUUGGGACUGAGACACGGCCCAGACUCCUACGGGAGGCAGCAGUGGGGAAUAUUGCACAAUGGGGGAAACCCUGAUGCAGCGACGCCGCGUGAAGGAAGAAGUAUCUCGGUAUGUAAACUUCUAUCAGCAGGGAAGAUAGUGACGGUACCUGACUAAGAAGCCCCGGCUAACUACGUGCCAGCCGCCGCGGUAAUAC